UGGGGAAUAUUGCACAAUGGGCGAAAGCCUGAUGCAGCAACGCCGCGUGAGUGAUGAAGGUCUUCGGAUUGUAAAGCUCUGUCUUUUGGGACGAUAAUGACGGUACCAAAGGAGGAAGCCACGGCUAACUACGUGCCAGCAGCCGCGGUAAUACGUAGGUGGCGAGCGUUGUCCGGAUUUACUGGGCGUAAAGGGUGCGUAGGCGGAUGUUUAAGUGAGAUGUGAAAUACCCGGGCUUAACUUGGGUGCUGCAUUUCAAACUGGAUAUCUAGAGUGCAGGAGAGGAGAAUGGAAUUCCUAGUGUAGCGGUGAAAUGCGUAGAGAUUAGGAAGAACACCAGUGGCGAAGGCGAUUCUCUGGACUGUAACUGACGCUGAGGCACGAAAAGCGUGGGUAGCAAAACAG
This 405-nucleotide ribosomal RNA is filed under the name uncultured bacterium. Its description in RNAcentral is "partial 16S ribosomal RNA". It matches the Rfam family "Bacterial small subunit ribosomal RNA", at positions 355 to 776 of the family's 1533-position model. The record is from RNAcentral.